RNAcentral lists this ribosomal RNA (1938 nucleotides) under bioreactor sludge metagenome. RNAcentral describes it as "bacterial LSU rRNA". It matches the Rfam family "Bacterial large subunit ribosomal RNA", at positions 3 to 1995 of the family's 2925-position model. The record is from RNAcentral.
UCAAGUGAAUAAGAGCAUGUGGUGGAUGCCUUGGCAAUGAUAGGCGACGAAGGACGUGAUAGCCUGCGAUAAGCUUCGGGGAGCUGGCAAAUUAGCUUUGAUCCGGAGAUUUCCGAAUGGGGAAACCCACCCGCAAGGGUAUCGCACACUGAAUCCAUAGGUGUGCGAGGCGAACCGGGUGAACUGAAACAUCUCAGUAGCUCGAGGAAAAGACAUCAACCGAGAUUCCGAAAGUAGUGGCGAGCGAAAUCGGAGAAGCCUGCACGUUUUAGCAGUCGAUCUAUCAGAACGGUCUGGAAAGUCCGGCCAUAGCGGGUGAUAGCCCCGUAUGAAAAAGGUUGAUUGUGGAACUGGGCGUGCGACAAGUAGGGCGGGACACGUGUAAUCCUGUCUGAAGAUGGGGGGACCAUCCUCCAAGGCUAAAUACUCGUAAUCGACCGAUAGCGAACUAGUACCGUGAGGGAAAGGCGAAAAGAACCCCGGGAGGGGAGUGAAAUAGAUCCUGAAACCGCAUGCAUACAAAAAGUCGGAGCCCGCAAGGGUGACGGCGUACCUUUUGUAUAAUGGGUCAGCGACUUACAUUCAGUGGCAAGCUUAACCGAAUAGGGAAGGCGCAGGGAAACCGAGUCCGAACAGGGCGUUCAGUCGCUGGGUGUAGACCCGAAACCAGGUGAUCUAUCCAUGGCCAGGAUGAAGGUGCCGUAACAGGUACUGGAGGUCCGAACCGACUAGUGUUGCAAAACUAGCGGAUGAGCUGUGGAUAGGGGUGAAAGGCUAAACAAACUUGGAGAUAGCUGGUUCUCUCCGAAAACUAUUUAGGUAGUGCCUCAAGUAUUACCAUCGGGGGUAGAGCACUGUUAUGGCUAGGGGGUCAUGGCGACUUACCAAACCAUUGCAAACUCCGAAUACCGAUGAGUACAGCUUGGGAGACAGUGCACCGGGUGCUAACGUCCGGACACAAGAGGGAAACAACCCAGACCGCCAGCUAAGGUCCCUAAUAUUGGCUAAGUGGGAAACGAAGUGGGAAGGCUAAAACAGUCAGGAUGUUGGCUUAGAAGCAGCCAUCAUUUAAAGAAAGCGUAAUAGCUCACUGAUCGAGUCGUCCUGCGCGGAAGAUGUAACGGGGCUAAGCCAGUAACCGAAGCUGCGGGUGCGUCGCAAGACGCGCGGUAGGAGAGCGUUCUGUACGCCUGUGAAGGUGGAUCGCGAGGUCUGCUGGAGGUAUCAGAAGUGCGAAUGCUGACAUGAGUAGCGUUAAAGGGGGUGAAAAGCCCCCUCGCCGUAAGCGCAAGGUUUCCUACGCAACGUUCAUCGGCGUAGGGUGAGUCGGCCCCUAAGGCGAGGCAGAGAUGCGUAGCUGAUGGGAAACAGGUCAAUAUUCCUGUACCGAUGUGUAGUGCGAUGUGGGGACGGAGAAGGUUAACUCAGCCGGGUGUUGGAUGUCCCGGUUCAAGCCUGUAGUCGUGGUCUCUAGGCAAAUCCGGAGAUCUUAGAUGAGGGGUGAUAACGAGGCGGCUUGCCGCUGAAGUGAGUGAUACCCUGCUUCCAGGAAAAGCCACUAAGCUCCAGCUACACACGACCGUACCGCAAACCGACACUGGUGCGCGAGAUGAGUAUUCUAAGGCGCUUGAGAGAACUCUGGAGAAGGAACUCGGCAAAUUGACACCGUAACUUCGGAAGAAGGUGUGCCUUUAGUAGGUGAAGUUGUACAAACGGAGCCCAAUGAGGCCGCAGAGAAUCGGUGGCUGCGACUGUUUAUUAAAAACACAGCACUCUGCAAAGACGAAAGUCGACGUAUAGGGUGUGACGCCUGCCCGGUGCUGGAAGAUUAAAUGAUGGGGUGCAAGCUCUUGAUUGAAGUCCCAGUAAACGGCGGCCGUAACUAUAACGGUCCUAAGGUAGCGAAAUUCCUUGUCGGGUAAGUUCCGACCUGCACGA